Eptesicus fuscus (big brown bat) is the source of this 82-nucleotide non-coding RNA. RefSeq annotates it as microRNA mir-29a. NCBI's taxonomy places the organism in Eukaryota, Metazoa, Chordata, Mammalia, Chiroptera, Vespertilionidae. The transcript has a single exon. The record is from RefSeq and is marked provisional.
CUUAGAGGAUGACUGAUUUCUUUUGGUGUUCAGAGUCAAUACAAUUUUCUAGCACCAUCUGAAAUCGGUUAUAAUGAUGGGG